RNAcentral lists this ribosomal RNA (374 nucleotides) under uncultured Alphaproteobacteria bacterium. Its description in RNAcentral is "bacterial SSU rRNA". It matches the Rfam family "Bacterial small subunit ribosomal RNA", at positions 521 to 896 of the family's 1533-position model. The record is from RNAcentral. Lineage: Bacteria; Pseudomonadati; Pseudomonadota; Alphaproteobacteria.
UAAUACGAAGGGACCUAGCGUAGUUCGGAAUUACUGGGCUUAAAGAGCUCGUAGGUGGUUAGAAAAGUUGGUGGUGAAAUCCCAAGGCUUAACCUUGGAACUGCUACCAAAACUUUUUGACUAGAGUAUGAUAGAGGAAAGUGGAAUUUCUAGUGUAGAGGUGAAAUUCGUAGAUAUUAGAAAGAACACCAAUUGCGAAGGCAACUUUCUGGAUCAUUACUGACACAGAGGAGCGAAAGCAUGGGUAGCGAAGAGGAUUAGAUACCCUCGUAGUCCAUGCCGUAAACGGUGUGUGCUAGACGUUGGAAACUUAGUUUUCAGUGUCGCAGCAAAAGCGUUAAGCACACCGCCUGGGGAGUACGACCGCAAGGUUA